UUGAACGCUGGCGGCAUGCCUUACACAUGCAAGUCGAACGGCAGCACGGGUGCUUGCCCCUGGUGGCGAGUGGCGAACGGGUGAGUAAUACAUCGGAACAUGUCCUGUAGUGGGGGAUAGCCCGGCGAAAGCCGGAUUAAUACCGCAUACGAUCUACGGAUGAAAGCGGGGGACCUUCGGGCCUCGCGCUAUAGGGUUGGCCGAUGGCUGAUUAGCUAGUUGGUGGGGUAAAGGCCUACCAAGGCGACGAUCAGUAGCUGGUCUGAGAGGACGACCAGCCACACUGGGACUGAGACACGGCCCAGACUCCUACGGGAGGCAGCAGUGGGGAAUUUUGGACAAUGGGCGAAAGCCUGAUCCAGCAAUGCCGCGUGUGUGAAGAAGGCCUUCGGGUUGUAAAGCACUUUUGUCCGGAAAGAAAUCCUUGGCCCUAAUACGGUCGGGGGAUGACGGUACCGGAAGAAUAAGCACCGGCUAACUACGU
RNAcentral lists this ribosomal RNA (484 nucleotides) under uncultured bacterium. RNAcentral's name for it is "partial 16S ribosomal RNA". It matches the Rfam family "Bacterial small subunit ribosomal RNA", at positions 30 to 506 of the family's 1533-position model. The record is from RNAcentral.